GUUUGAUCNUGGCUCAGGACGAACGCUGGCGGCGUGCCUAAUACAUGCAAGUCGAACGCACUCUCGUUUAGAUUGAAGGAGCUUGCUCCUGAUUGAUAAACAUUUGAGUGAGUGGCGGACGGGUGAGUAACACGUGGGUAACCUGCCCUAAAGUGGGGGAUAACAUUUGGAAACAGAUGCUAAUACCGCAUAAAACCUAACACCGCAUGGUGUAGGGUUGAAAGAUGGUUUCGGCUAUCACUUUAGGAUGGACCCGCGGUGCAUUAGUUAGUUGGUGAGGUAAAGGCUCACCAAGACCGUGAUGCAUAGCCGACCUGAGAGGGUAAUCGGCCACACUGGGACUGAGACACGGCCCAGACUCCUACGGGAGGCAGCAGUAGGGAAUCUUCCACAAUGGACGAAAGUCUGAUGGAGCAACGCCGCGUGAGUGAAGAAGGUUUUCGGAUCGUAAAACUCUGUUGUUGGAGAAGAA
RNAcentral lists this ribosomal RNA (472 nucleotides) under Latilactobacillus sakei. Its description in RNAcentral is "bacterial SSU rRNA". It matches the Rfam family "Bacterial small subunit ribosomal RNA", at positions 11 to 449 of the family's 1533-position model. The record is from RNAcentral. Lineage: Bacteria; Bacillati; Bacillota; Bacilli; Lactobacillales; Lactobacillaceae.